CCUGUGAUGUCGACAGCAGUUCCUCUCUAUCUUGUUCAGUCACAAUUUGGGACCCAGAGCAGAAACAUCCAGAUAACCCCGAAGCUUUGCUCAGCAACCCUCUUAUCUCAGCAACCGGACAUAUUAUAUUUCCCGAAAUGCAACGCUGGGCGUUCACAUCAUCAGCGUCUGCAUUUCAGGCGACAAAGCGCGAGUGGCGACGACGCUCCCAGCUCCGCCGGGCAGAAGCGUUUUGGAGGAUGCUACUUUAUUUGCUCCUGUAUCCAGUCCUGCUGAUAGGAAGGAGUGAAGCUCAGAAUGAUGAUUGGAUUGAUCCAACAGACAUGUUGAAUUAUGAUGCAGCAUCAGGAACAAUGCGAAAGCCUGACGAGCAUGUGAAUCAGGAUAAUUUUGAAAAUAAUAGAUUACCAUCAACAAAAGUGGCUGAAGAAAAUCUAAUGGAAAUUUCCAGGUGCCAAACAAAACUAGAUUCUGUAACUCAUAAGCUUGAUGAAUAUGAAAAAAAAUAUAAAGUAAAAUUACAUGAAAGCAACAGCAUUCAUGUUUUUAGAAGAUACUUGAACAAGAUUUUAAAUGAAGUUGGAAGACUUGGACUACCCAAUGAUAAUACCAGGGAAGUGCAUUAUGAUGCUGAGAUCAUUCUCACCAGACAAUCAGUUAAUGAAAUUAACAAGUUCCUUAAGGAAGAAGACUGGAAAUCUGCAUCUCUAGAUGAAGCUGUUAAUAGUAUCCUGAUUAAUUGUAGACCUCAUGAUUAUGAAGCAUGGAAAUGGAAAUUUGAAGACACAUUUGGGGUUGAUCCAUAUAAUGUCUUCAUGGUUCUUUUGUGUUUAGCAAGCAUCUUAGUCAUUAUUGCAACAGAAUUAUGGACGCAUGUUAGUUGGUUGACUCAGAUGAAGCGUCUUAUGAUCAUCAGUUUUCUCAUCAGUUUUGGAUGGAACUGGAUGUACCUCUAUAAGAUGGCCUUCGCUCAGCACCAGUCAGAAGUGGCCAAAAUGGGAAAUGUUGAUACAGUCUGUGUGGAAAAGAUGAAAUGGACAGACAGCUUUUGGGAGUAUCUUAGAACUUCAUUUACAUUCCAAGAUGAUCCUUGCCAAAAGUACUAUGAAACCCUCCUGGUAAAUCCGAUUUUGUUUGUUCCUCCAACAAAGGCCCUGGCUGUUACAUUUACCAAUUUUAUAACAGAACCACUGAAGCACGUUGGACAAGGAAUUGGUGAAUUUAUUAGAGCUCUCAUGAAAGAAAUUCCAAUACUUCUACAGAUUCCAGUGCUGAUCAUAAUGGCAGGAGCAACUUUGAUUUUCUGCUACGGGGCAGGAAGAUCUGUCACUGCUCUAAGAAGUUUACCAUACCAGGAAAGGCCACAGCCUCCUGCUCUUCCUCCAAGGGAUGGAAAUCAAUCACCACCAAUGCUUCAGCCAAAGCAGAGUGGGGCAGAUGGCAAGGCAGGCUACUUGACUGGAAACACAGAGUCCAUCCCAGGAGGUCCUUAUGACAGAGGAGAUGCAUCAAGAAGAGACAUGCAAACCAAAUCCGACUGUGACCGUAAACACAACAUAGAGGUUGUGCAAGCUGGUAGUACACUGGAUGUACCAGCAGAAGAACAUUCCAAGUUGGCAACCAAGAAUGAAUUGAAUCCUAAAGAAGAGAAGCAGGCUAAUGAUGUAAUGGAGAAAACCAACACAGAUUCAGACCUGGAUAAAACAAACAUUGUUGAACCUAGCCAAGUACCAAAGCAUCCAGAAAGUAAUGGAAAUGAAACAAAACAUAGCAGCAGUGAAGACGGGAUUGUGAAACAAAAUGUUCCGGAAGCCCCAGAGUUUCAAGGGAAAGAGAAAUGUGGAUUGGAAGAAUCCAGAGAGAGGAUUAUAGAAACCUUGAACCCAUCUGUUUCGACUCCAGAAGACAAAAGGAUCAUUCAACAAAGGGAUUGGUCAUCCUUCUUGCAACUGCACUGGACCCUUUUAAAGGAUAGCUGGAAGGCAACAACGUUCCAUGUUUCAUUGUACACUCUGUGAUGCAACAUGAUGUCAUGCUGGCCAUAUGACCGUGGAAACAUCUCCAGGCAAUGAUGGCUCUUUGGCUUAAGAAAUUGAGAUGAGCACCACCCCUAAAGUCGGUCAUGACUAGUGAGAUCUCUUGAAAUAUCAAGGUGCCUCUGACAGCAAACAAUUGCUUCUUCAAAAUUCCCAAGGACCUUUAAGGUAUUUCCCAAGUUGCCACUAGCUUUAGCUUCUCCUAGUUGAUCCCCAAUUGUUCUGAAAAUUGAACAUUUAGUCAGUCCUCCUGCUUUUCUGUUAAAAGUCAGCUCAAUCUUGAGUAGCAGAAACAUUUUUAUUAAACUUGGCAGCAAGUUUAAUAAAGUGGCAGCAACUAUACACUUAUACUUAAACAUUUUUACCCCCAGUCUUAAUUAUCCUAACUCAGUAUAAUCAUUAUUUAUUUUUUCUAGUUCAUUUUUUCUCAGAUACAGAUCUUCAAAUCUACCAGUAUUCCCAACUAAUGUAUAAUCAUUAGAAAAGAUAAAAAGGGUAAAACAACACCUUGUGAUCCAUAUUGGGAAAAGAAUAUAUUCCAUAUAAACAUGAGUGCAAAUGAAUGUAUUUGGACAUAUUUUAUAUGUUUGGCUAAACUGUACUUCACACUUAUAAGCAUAACAUUAUACCGUGGAUAUACUAUGUUCCAGAUAAAAAUAUCUGGAAUUUAUUUUAGAAGUCAGAGGAUCAGAUACCCAAUUAUAUAGUGUAAAAUAUAUUUUAAAAGUAAUGUAAUGUUAUUCUGAGGGUUUAAUUCCUGUAUGUCAUUUCUUGUGAAUAUAAUAUGCCUAAGAUAAAUUACACAUCAUUGUCCUGAAGUAUAAAACUUUCCUAUCUAUUAUUCUGAGUGGUUCACUUCAUGACUAAGAUAAUCUGCCCUAUCCAACAGCUAAGUCUUAUGAGAUGGAGCAAUUUUGAGCAAUAUUUAAUUGAACAAAUUUUUAAUCAUUAUCACAAAAAGUGAUAAUAUCUAGAUAAAGUAUAACUUUAUAGCGGUUGGAAAAAAUAUGAGGCUAUUAUUAUGGGAAGAAGGAACAAUGAGUAUUAAGGUUGGCUUGGAGAAGUUACAUAGUCCUAAAAUGGAAGGAUGUGUAAGAAAGAAAUUCAAAAUACUGUAACCCCACCUUGACUAGGCUUAGUGUAAGACAGGAAAAGGCUUUCAAGAGUUUGUCAUUCCAUUUUACUACAAUAAAGAGUAUUACUGAUA
Non-coding RNA from Pantherophis guttatus, 3243 nucleotides. The record is from RefSeq and is a predicted model, not a curated record. NCBI's taxonomy places the organism in Eukaryota, Metazoa, Chordata, Lepidosauria, Squamata, Colubridae.